GGGAAGAGAGAGAAACUGAUAAAGUAAUUAUUUUCUUUGAUUUGCUUGUGCUUUUAUGGCUUUACUAGAUUUUUAGAUUUACCAUUUUCUUUGAAGCUGGGAAGAAUUAGUGGAUCAAUUUUUGUUUUUGAGAAAUUUGAAUUUUAGUGCUAUUUUCUAUGAGGUCGGUGAUUCAAUUGCUGUGUUUUUGUAUUUCAGUGUGACAUUUUUAAGGUGUUUUGGAUUUUAGGUUUACUUUCCUUCCAGUGUCUUUGAUUUAAUAGGUUAUGUUUUAAAAUACUUGAUUAUUGUGAGCAAUUUAUCAUCUUAGAAUUAAUUUGG
RNAcentral lists this unclassified non-coding RNA (321 nucleotides) under Hevea brasiliensis (rubber tree). The record is from RNAcentral. Lineage: Eukaryota; Viridiplantae; Streptophyta; Magnoliopsida; Malpighiales; Euphorbiaceae.